Cucurbita maxima (winter squash) is the source of this 1544-nucleotide long non-coding RNA. RefSeq lists it as uncharacterized. Lineage: Eukaryota; Viridiplantae; Streptophyta; Magnoliopsida; Cucurbitales; Cucurbitaceae. The transcript is spliced from 2 exons. The record is from RefSeq and is a predicted model, not a curated record.
AAGAAGAGGUUGAGAACGAUAAGAAUCAUCACAGCCUUUUGAAGAGGGGGAAGAUGAUAAGAGGUUGAGGAUGAUAAGAAGAGGUUGAGGACGAUAAGAAUCAUCACAACCUUUUGAAGAGGGGAAACAGCCUUUUGAAGAGAAUGAAGAUGUAAGAAGAGGUUGAGGACAAUAAGAAUCAUUGAAACCUUUUGAAAAGGGGGAACAGCCUUUUGAAGAGGGUGAAGAUGAUAAGAAGAGGGGAAGAUGAUAAGAAUCAUCACAGUGUUCACAGUGUUAUAAGAAGAGGUUGAAAACGAUAAGAAUCAUCACAGUGUUCACAUUGUUAUAAAAAUAGAUUGAGGACGAUAAGAAUCAUCACAGUGUUAUAAGAAGAGGACGAUAAGAAUCAUCACAGUGUUCACAGUGUUAUAAGAAGAGGUUGAGGAUGAUAAGAAUCAUCACAAUGUUCACAGUGUUAUAAGAAGAGGUUGAGGAUGAUAAGAAUCAUUAUAGUGUUAUAAGAAGAGGUUGAGGACGAUAAGAAUCAUCACAGUGUUCACAGUGUUAUAAGAAGAGGACGAUAAGAAUCAUCACAGUGUUAUAAGAAGAGAUUGAGGAUGAUAAGAAUCAUCACAGUGUUCACAAUAUUAUAAGAAGAGGUUGAGGACGAUAAGAAUCAUCACAGUGUUCACAAUGUUAUUAAAAGAGGUUGAGGACGAUAAGAAUCAUCACGGUGUUCACAAUGUUAUUAAAAGAGGUUGAGGACGAUAAGAAUCAUCACAGUGUUCACAGUGUUAUAAGAAGAGGUUGAGGAUGAUAAGAAUCAUCACAGUGUUAUAAGAAGAAGACGAUAAGAAUCAUCACAGUGUUAUAAGAGGAGGUUGAGGACGAUAAGAAUCAUCACAGUGUUAUAAGAAGAGGUUGAGGACGAUAAGAAUCAUCACAGUGCUCACAAGAAUAAUCACAAUGUUCACAAUGUUAUAAGAAGAGGUUGAAGACGAUAAGAAUUAUCACAGUGUUCACAGUGUUAUUAAAAGAGGUUGAGGACGAUAAAAAUCAUCACAAUGUUUACAGUGUUAUAAGAAGAGAUAGAGGAUGAUAAGAAUUAUCACAGUGUUAUAAGAAGAGGACAAUAAGAAUCAUCACAGUGUUAUAAGAAGAGGUUGAGGACGAUAAGAAUCAUCACAGUGUUAGAAGAAGAGGUUGAGGAGGAGGAGGACGACAAGAAUCAUCACGGUGUUAUAAGAAGAGGUUGAGGAGGAGGAGGACGAUAAGUAUCAUCACGGUGUUAUAAGAAGAGGUUGAGGAGGAGGACGACGAUAAGAAUCAUCACAGUGUUAUAAGAAGAGGAGGAGGACGAUAAGAAUCAUCACAGUAUUAUAAGAAGAGGUUGAGGAGGAGGAGGAGGACGAUAAGAAUCAUCACAGUGUUAUAAGAAGAGGUUGAGGACGAUAAGAAUCAUCACAGUUUUAUAAGAACCCUAUAGAUUUCAAGUUUGUACCCUUAACCACUCAAACAUAUUAACGUUUGUUGAAAAAUUUUAUUGUUUUUUUCAUUUUCAU